RNAcentral lists this transfer RNA (67 nucleotides) under Myioborus brunniceps (brown-capped redstart). RNAcentral describes it as "tRNA-Cys". Lineage: Eukaryota; Metazoa; Chordata; Aves; Passeriformes; Parulidae. The record is from RNAcentral.
GGCCCUGUAGUGAAGUUCAUGGUGAGUUGCAAGCUCAUUGAUGUGCAUAGAUUAUGUACCGGGGCCU